GGCUGGCCCAAGUGCAGUGGUGCUCACAACUAAUUGAUCACAACAUUACAGAUUUGUUUCUUCUCCAUUCCCACUACUUCACUUGACCAGUCUAAA
RNAcentral lists this Y RNA (96 nucleotides) under Sapajus apella (tufted capuchin). RNAcentral describes it as "Cebus apella (Tufted capuchin) Y RNA". It matches the Rfam family "Y RNA". Rfam says of the family: Y RNAs are components of the Ro ribonucleoprotein particle (Ro RNP), in association with Ro60 and La proteins. The Y RNAs and Ro60 and La proteins are well conserved, but the function of the Ro RNP is not known. The record is from Rfam by way of RNAcentral. Lineage: Eukaryota; Metazoa; Chordata; Mammalia; Primates; Cebidae. RNAcentral also lists the same sequence under 1 other name.